GAAAUGCGAUAAGUAGUGUGAAUUGCAGAAUUCAGUGAAUCAUCGAAUCUUUGAACGCACAUUGCGCCCCUUGGUAUUCCAUGGGGCAUGCCUGUUCGAGCGUCAUUUGUACCCUCAAGCUCUGCUUGGUGUUGGGUGUUUGUCCCCGUCUGCGCGCGUGGACUCGCCCCAAAGUGAUUGGCAGCCGGCGUACUGGUCCCGGAGCGCAGCACAUGUCGCGCAAACGAGUGCCUUGGUACGGCGGCGUCCAUAAGCCCCUCUCUCACGCUCUUGACCUCGGAUCAGGUAGGGAUACCCGCUGAACUUAAGC
This 310-nucleotide unclassified non-coding RNA is filed under the name plant metagenome. RNAcentral's name for it is "partial contains 5.8S ribosomal RNA, internal transcribed spacer 2, and large subunit ribosomal RNA". The stretch from base 1 to 105 matches the Rfam family "5.8S ribosomal RNA", at positions 50 to 154 of the family's 154-position model. The record is from RNAcentral.